Molecule: long non-coding RNA, 376 nt
Organism: Arabidopsis thaliana (thale cress)
Lineage: Eukaryota; Viridiplantae; Streptophyta; Magnoliopsida; Brassicales; Brassicaceae
Product: other RNA
Exons: 1
Source: RefSeq
UUCAAAAGUCUAGAAUAGGCUUCAUUCCCUCCCUCUUUAACCGGGGUAGUCGGUUCCUUAUCCUGCAGAUCGAAAGCGUGGAGUCUCGAAGAAGAUCUGCACGGUAUGAAUCUGUCGCUGCAAGUCGAUUUAGACGGCGAGGAUAAACUCGAAAUCCCACGAAAUGAGCUCGAAAACGUUUCUAAACGCAACGAAGUCUGGUUCAUCCCUGCGGGAAGAUUCAAACCGGUUUUGGUACUCUGUGGCGAUGCCAUUUCUGGGUUCUAUUCGAAAGCACGGUUUGGUCGGAGAUUGAAACAACCGUAGGAGAGAAGAUUGCAAAAGAAUCGAAGAGAGCUUUAUCUCUCUCUUUUUUUUUCCCUUCUUUUGCGAAAAG